GCGCUCCACGGCUCUGUUGCUCUCCUCAGCGAUGGUUUCGUGGUCGUCCUAGACUCGGCAACUGCGCCCUCCGUAGGCACAGGUUUGGACUCCGCGACGCGGGGAGAUGAUGGGCUGGGUUCUGGAUCUGGACACCCACUCGAUGUAAGCGGCGACGCUCUCUCGAGGGCCAUUCCCGGACAGCUUCGCUCGUGUGGUGGUGUUUAGUCCUCGGAAGUGGAUCGAGCACAGGAAGCUGUCCGGGAAGCGCGAGUCGUUCGCGAGGGCGAGGAAGUCCUUAGUGUAGCCCUCGAGAGAGCGAUCCUCCUGCUCCAGCAGGAGGAUGAGGAAAUUUGGGUCGUUGUAGGGGGAAU
Puntigrus tetrazona (Sumatra barb) is the source of this 353-nucleotide long non-coding RNA. RefSeq lists it as uncharacterized. The transcript is spliced from 2 exons. The record is from RefSeq and is a predicted model, not a curated record. Lineage: Eukaryota; Metazoa; Chordata; Actinopteri; Cypriniformes; Cyprinidae.